GACGAACGCUGGCGGCGUGCCUAAUACAUGCAAGUCGAACGCAGUGGGGACGGGUGAGUAACACGUGGGUAACCUCCCAUCAGAGGGGAUAACACUUGGAAACAGGUGCUAAACCGAUACUGAUGGAUGAACCCGCGGUGCAUUAGCUAGUUGGGGAGGUAACGGCUCACCAAGGCCACGAUGCAUAGCCGACCGAGGAGGGUGAUCGGCCACACUGGGACUAGACCACGGCCCGAACUCCUCCGGGAGCAAGCAGUAGGGAAUCUUCGGCAAUGAACGAAAGUCUGACCAGGCAACGCGCGGUGAGUGAAUAAGGUUUUCGGUUCGUAAAACUCUGUUGUUAGAGAAGCGGUAUCUAACCAGAAAGCCACGGCUAACUACGUGCCAGCAGCCGCGGUAAUAC
This 403-nucleotide ribosomal RNA is filed under the name uncultured bacterium. Its description in RNAcentral is "partial 16S ribosomal RNA". It matches the Rfam family "Bacterial small subunit ribosomal RNA", at positions 28 to 526 of the family's 1533-position model. The record is from RNAcentral.